Molecule: non-coding RNA, 222 nt
Organism: Vicia faba (fava bean)
Lineage: Eukaryota; Viridiplantae; Streptophyta; Magnoliopsida; Fabales; Fabaceae
Source: the annotation of a GenBank genome assembly
AUGCACUGCAAAAAUGACAUUUGCAUAGACUUAAAGGACGCCCAUAUUUUUAAUGCUUGCUUCAACAAAGAAUUAAAGCGUGUGAUAACUGCAGAAAGUAUUAAGUAUGGGUUUGACAUUCUUCAAGGCAUCCAAAAUGAGAACAAGAGCAUUAAAAAGUCACCGAAGGUAAUUAAUGCAAUUUCCACCAUAUUUUGUGGAAUUUGCGAUACUUUCAUCUAG